UUUUCGUUCAAUGGGCGCAAGCCUGAACGAGCGAUGCCGCGUGAGUGAAGAAGGCCUUCGGGUCGUAAAGCUCUGUUGCGGGGGAAAAAAGGCAGCAUCAGGAAAUGGGUGCUGACUGAUGGUGCCCCGCCAGAAAGUCACGGCUAACUACGUGCC
This 156-nucleotide ribosomal RNA is filed under the name uncultured bacterium. Its description in RNAcentral is "partial 16S ribosomal RNA". It matches the Rfam family "Bacterial small subunit ribosomal RNA", at positions 359 to 509 of the family's 1533-position model. The record is from RNAcentral.